Molecule: ribosomal RNA, 328 nt
Filed under: uncultured eukaryote
Lineage: Eukaryota
Description: partial 18S ribosomal RNA
Rfam family: Eukaryotic small subunit ribosomal RNA
Source: RNAcentral
CCCUUAGAUGUCCUGGGCCGCACGCGCGUUACACUGAUGCAUUCAACGAGCUUAUAACCUUGGCCGAGAGGCCUGGGCAAUCUUGUUAACGUGCAUCGUGAUAGGGAUAGAUUAUUGAAAUUAUUAAUCUUGAACGAGGAAUUCCUAGUAAACGCAGAUCAUCAAUCUGCAUUGAUUACGUCCCUGCCCUUUGUACACACCGCCCGUCGCACCUACCGAUUGGAUGGUCCGGUGAAGCCUCGGGAUUGUGGUUCUUGCCGCUUUAUUGUGGCGUGACCGCGAGAACUUGUCUAAACCUUAUUAUCUAGAGGAAGGUGAAGUCGUANCA